GAAGCAGACCAGACAGCCGCUGGUCAUCAUCAUGAUGGCGAGAGGAAGGUCCGGACACCACAGGGCAGGGUGGCGGCUAACAGCCGUCCGCUGAAAGCCGCAAGGUAUAAGGCGAGGAACAGGGCCACAGAGACGAGCGUAUUCGGUUACGGUGAAACGCGGUAACCUCCACCCGGUGCAAUCCCAAGUAGGCACGCAUUGAGGCGGCUCGCGGAGCGUGCGGGUAGGGAGCUUGAGCGUUGGAGUAAUCCAUCGCCUAGAUGAAUGGCUGCCAUAGCGACCGAUUGGUCGCCGUAACAGAAUCCGGCCUAUCGGUCUGCUUUCUUU
This 327-nucleotide RNase P RNA is filed under the name Burkholderiaceae bacterium. RNAcentral describes it as "RNase P RNA component class A". It matches the Rfam family "Bacterial RNase P class A". Rfam says of the family: Ribonuclease P (RNase P) is a ubiquitous endoribonuclease, found in archaea, bacteria and eukarya as well as chloroplasts and mitochondria. Its best characterised activity is the generation of mature 5'-ends of tRNAs by cleaving the 5'-leader elements of precursor-tRNAs. Lineage: Bacteria; Pseudomonadati; Pseudomonadota; Betaproteobacteria; Burkholderiales; Burkholderiaceae. The record is from RNAcentral.